GAGCUUCGCCGCUGAUGUCUCUCUUCCAGUCUAAUAUGAAAGACCGGGUCACCGGAUCUUCCAAUUUGCUUUUCUUCUUGUUUCUCAGCCUCUUUCAGCUUGCUCUCUGCACUGAUGCUCUCUGCAUGAUACAUAUGGUAUGUUUUCAUCACCUGUGAAAAUGUGACCCAAAUUGUUACAAGAUGCCUGUCUAUAACUCAGAGAGUGAAUGGAAGCCAUUAUAUGAGGAAUACGUUAAAAAUAUCACCUUCCAACUGGCAGGGGGAGAGCCAGAUUGCUAGUCAAACAGAUGAAUUAUGGACGAUUGCGUCUACAUAAAGCAAGGAGAAAUAUGCAAAUUCACCUGCCAGGAAGAGGCACUUAGGGGAUAGGCUUUGAUGAAAAAGUGAUUUACAGAGUCUUACGCAUGCUUUCAGUGCACUUGAAAAGUUCCCUUAAGCUUAAAAGUGUUCUCUAAAAUCUCUGCAUUAUUAAUCUGCAGAAUAAACCAUUAUUCGUGGAUAAAUUUUACCCCAACCUUGGAAUUAUAAAAAACUCCAAAUUAGUACAGAUUUUACUAAACAGUUUUUUUUGUAUAAAAUCUACUUGUCAAAAUACAAAAUGGAAAUAUUAAAGUUCGUACAUACAUAGUUAAAAAUAAUUGUUUUUCUGACCACAAAGUAAUACUUUUAUGUUCAAUGCAGAAAACAUAUGACACAAAAAAGAAAAUAUAAAAAGCACACAGAGAUAACCACUGUUAAGAUUUCUGGUCCAGCCACUUGGGUCUUUUUCCUAUGAAAACACACAGACACACACACUUCUUUACUUGAAAAUGACACGUUUCUCCUUUUCAAACAUUUGUACCAUACUGUGUUAACAAUUUUUAAUCUUCUAUAUCCUCUUUUCAUUUAACAGAUCAGAACACUUUUCUAUAACACUAAAUGUUCUUCUAAAAAUAUUUUUAAGGACUGUAUAAUAUUUUUUUAUAUGACUGGGACACAGCUUGACUAAUUUCCAAUUGUUGAACAUUUUAGGAUAUUUCAACUUUUUGCUUUAUAAAGAAAGCUGUGCUGAAGCCCUUUAUAUGUAUCCUAUUUCUUGUUUUAUAAAUGAUACACCUAAGUUGCAUUUUAAUAACUUUAGGAAUAUAUAGAAAAUAAAGUUUUUAAUGUAUCCUUUCCAUGUAUGUUGUAAACUUACACAAACAAUUCUCAACUAAAAUUUUUGUUAAAAUAAAAUUUGAAUCUUUAAACAUUUUGAUUAUAUUAUUGGUACAGAAAUAUUUAUGCACAAAAUUAUAUUUCCUAUGGUACAUUUUCAGAGAAUUACAGUUAGACAAUCUGCACAUUUUGGAAGUUUUGACACAAACUUCCUAUUUAAUACUCUGCUAAUCUGAAAAAAAGUGAUCUGUACAGUUAUUUUCCAAAGCAUUUAGAAAACAGAGAUGCUUAACAAACAUUUUCUCAAGUAAUAAAUAAGUAUAUUUACCCUUACAGUAUCUAUUAUAUCUGUAUAUAGUCCUUGUUUUUUUAGAUACAGAAUAAAAGUCACAGAUUUUCAAAGAUUUUACCUAAAAAUCACAGUUUUCCAAUAUAAUUUCAAUCUGCUAUUUAUAAGUAGAGUCAGACGUCUGGGCCAAUUCUGAAACCUGUUGACUUUAAGCACAUUUAUACUCCUUAAAAGAAACAACAUAUCACAGUAGGACUCCAAUGCCAUGGACGUAUCAAGGAACAUACCAGAAUUUAGCACCCAAUUAUCCGUGGUGGCACUUUUCCAUAAAUUAUGUCAAAUUUGCAUCCACAUAAAACAGAUUUUAUUUCAUUCGUAAAUAACCAGAAGUUAUUCAGAGCCACCUUUAUAACUAAAAUGUAGUUGUUAAGAAGAGAUUUAAUGUCACAUUUUGAAGUAAGGAACUUGAUAUUUUUUUCAUCUCAAAAGAUGAAUCUUAAAAUAGUUUGGGAACCGGAAGCAUCACCGCAAUAUAUUUACUUAGGUUGAAGCACAUGAAAUUGCUGUUUUGGUAGGUUAUAUAGAAGGUAGGAAGUCAGCACUUUCUUAUGGUUCAACUUAGUACAUACUUCCAAGGUGACUUUUUGAAAAUGAAAACGGGGUAAAUGAAGAGUUUUUACUUAUUUUCAUAAAAUCUGAUAAUGUCUUUCCUUAAAAAGGUAAGCUAGCAAAUCACAUUACAGGCAUUUUGAACAAGAACAAAGUAAGGGCUAAAGUACAAAGCAUGGCAGCUUUUUCUGAGCUGUGUGUAAUUGCAAAGUUGUCUGUUUUUAGUAAUUACCAAACCUGUCCAGGAAAAGUUUCGUUGGUUACUCCAGUUUAAAAGAAAAAUAAAAUAGCAUUAAGAAGCAGCUGGGCAGCUGGGGAAUGAAAAGGGAGUGACCCUACAGCUGGGCAAACAGCGAGGUCAAUGAAUUUACUACACACCUUGCAUUUCGAGGUUUGGCUCUGUUUGUAUACCCUGCCUGAAGCAAACCCACACACCAUUUGGGUCCUGGUUCCAAUUACAUCUUUAAAGAGAGGGUGAAAAAAAAAUCUCUCUCUCUCUCUCUCUCUCUCACGCGCGCGCGCGCGCACACACACACACACACACACACACAGUUGCUUAGCUGACUGUAUUCUUCUUGCUAAUACCCAGGAAGAAAUGAGAACAUAUAACUUCCAUCAUAGAUAGAUGAAAAGGCAUUCCAGACAGCCCCGGGUAUCUGAGAAUUAUUUAUUUUAAAAACAUCCUGAAGAAAAGACUUGAACUCUUGCUUUAUUUAGAUGCUGAGGACCAGUGUAACCAAGUGAUUUGCAGAAACUAAGCCUUAUGAACUAAGGACACUGAGCUGGCUGCCAGCAUGGUGAUACUUAUAAACUAGCCUGGGUUAAAAGAAAAACAUUCUCUUUUUUUUAAAAAAUGUUUCUUUAUUUACUUUGAGGGGGUGGGGAGAGAGAGAGAGACCGAGAGACCAAGAAUCCCAAGCAGGCUCCCCAUUGUCAGCAUGGAGCCUGAUGUGGGACUUGAUCCGACAAAGCAUAAGAAAGUGACCUGUGCCGAAAUGAAGAGUCAGAGGCUUAACUGAGUGAGCCACCAAGAAGCCCCAAAAAGGAAAACAUUCUUGACCUAACACUAGCAAGAAAAGGGUGUAAAUAUCCCAUCAUAACGUGGUUCAGCACAAUAGCUGAGGGUUUUCUACCUAGUUUGAUGGUAAUUUCCAGAAGGAAAUUUCUUUGUUCAGUUUUCCAAUGUGACUUAGGGUUUCCACUAUUUUCUAAAAUGUUAGCAAUGACAAUGAAUGAAUUUUAAAAGUUGGGGAGAAAAACACUAAAAGCUUUUUAGAACUCUAAUUGCAGAUAAUGAAUGCAAGUACAAACUGCAUUAUUUAAAAUGUAAGCUGUUGACAGCAGUUAAAUGUGUUUUGUAUUUAAAAUAAAAUAAGACAGUUUUCUCUUUUUCAAAGAAGUAGAAGAAAGCUUUUAUUUUUCAAAGGUGCCUUUUUUUUUCUACACAUACUGCAAAGAAAAUAAUAGCUUCUCCAUAAGCUUCAAGCAAACACAAGUAUUUGCAUACCAAAUGACAUGAUAGUCAUAUAUCCAUUUAAAUGUACUCCAAUAACAUAUUUUCCUCUUUGAAUUCUUCUCUACUAAAACCUCCUGCAUAAUUCUCCAUUGAACACACUCAAUUUAUCUUUCCUAAUCCAUCUUUUCUUAACUGUAAAAGAGUAUCGUCAAACAGAAAGUGACCAUAUCAUGGAUUUCUUUGCACUUGUGAAAUCCUAUGCAAAAACUUUUGCACAGAAGCUAUUAAUAUUUUUUUUUCCUUAUUGACAGAGUCAUAUAAUGUAUCCUACACUCCUCUUGUACUUUAAGUCAAAAUAAUUAAAAUAUCUAUGGUAAAUUUUA
RNAcentral lists this long non-coding RNA (3876 nucleotides) under Lynx pardinus (Iberian lynx). Lineage: Eukaryota; Metazoa; Chordata; Mammalia; Carnivora; Felidae. The record is from RNAcentral.